RNAcentral lists this long non-coding RNA (676 nucleotides) under Olea europaea subsp. europaea. Lineage: Eukaryota; Viridiplantae; Streptophyta; Magnoliopsida; Lamiales; Oleaceae. The record is from RNAcentral.
GAUAUAGUCCUUGGGAAAUAGUGGCAGCUUUGUACCUACAGGUGAGUAUCAUUAGUCAAGCACUCAUAUUCAUUACAAGGUCUUGUAGUUGGUCUUUUGCUGAAAGCCCCAGAAUGUACUUUUAUGAUAGCUCAACCGUAAGGAACUUUUCCUUUUCACUGAUCUUUCACAAAAUUGUACUUCGACUAACUCUAUACUCAAGUGAAGUUACGAAUACUAAGCAUUUGAUAACAUGUUGCCACUCUAAUAGUUGUUUAUGCGAACUGGGAUUUUGCAAAGAUCAAAGAAUGCGGUUGGGUUGGGCCGAUCUUAUUUGGCUUUAUAGCAUUGUAACCUAUGUUCCACUUGACAUCCUCAAGUUUUGCAUACGUUAUGUUUUGAGCGGAAAGGCUUGGGAUAAUCUUUUGGAGAACGAAGUACAUCGUCUUACAGUAUUUAUUAAGUUGUUUAAAUAAUUCAUUGCUUGAUCCUUACUUUCUUACUCGACUGUUGACGAUAGAUUGCCUUUACGACAAAGUCUAACUAUGGAAAAGAAGAGAGAGAGGCACAAUAGGCUACAACAUAGAGGACUUUACAUGGUCUUCAACCACAAGAAGUGAAUAACCUUUUCAAUGAAAAAAAGAGGUUAUUUAGAGCUCUUAGAGAUUGCAGAGUAUGUCAAACGACGUGCUAAGGU